AAAUUGAAGAGUUUGAUCAUGGCUCAGAUUGAACGCUGGCGGCAGGCCUAACACAUGCAAGUCGAACGGUAACAGGAAGCAGCUUGCUGCUUCGCUGACGAGUGGCGGACGGGUGAGUAAUGUCUGGGAAACUGCCUGAUGGAGGGGGAUAACUACUGGAAACGGUAGCUAAUACCGCAUAACGUCGCAAGACCAAAGAGGGGGACCUUCGGGCCUCUUGCCAUCAGAUGUGCCCAGAUGGGAUUAGCU
Molecule: ribosomal RNA, 249 nt
Filed under: Citrobacter koseri
Lineage: Bacteria; Pseudomonadati; Pseudomonadota; Gammaproteobacteria; Enterobacterales; Enterobacteriaceae
Also listed under: 2 other names
Description: partial 16S ribosomal RNA
Rfam family: Bacterial small subunit ribosomal RNA
Source: RNAcentral